CCUACGGGAGGCAGCAGUGGGGAAUAUUGGGCAAUGGACGCAAGUCUGACCCAGCAACGCCGCGUGAAGGAAGAAGGCUUUCGGGUUGUAAACUUCUUUUAAGGGGGAAGAGCAGAAGACGGUACCCCUUGAAUAAGCCACGGCUAACUACGUGCCAGCAGCCGCGGUAAUACGUAGGUGGCAAGCGUUGUCCGGAUUUACUGGGUGGAAAGGGCGUGCAGCCGGAGAGACAAGUCAGAUGUGAAAUCCGCGGGCUCAACCCGCGAACUGCAUUUGAAACUGGUUCCGUUGAGUAUCGGAGGGGGCAUCGGAAUUCCUAGUGGAGCGGUGAAAUGCGUAGAUAUUAGGAAGAACACCAGUGGCGAAGGCGGAUGACUGGACGACAACUGACGGUGAGGCGCGAAAGCGUGGGGAGCAAACAGGAUUAGAUACCCCGGUAGUC
Molecule: ribosomal RNA, 442 nt
Filed under: uncultured bacterium
Lineage: Bacteria
Description: partial 16S ribosomal RNA
Rfam family: Bacterial small subunit ribosomal RNA
Source: RNAcentral